AGAGUUUGAUCCUGGCUCAGGACGAACGCUGGCGGCGUGCUUAACACAUGCAAGUUGAGCGAUGAAACUUCUUCGGAAGUGGAUUAGCGGCGGACGGGUGAGUAACACGUGGGUAACCUGCCUUGUAGAGAGGAAUAGCCAUUCGAAAGGAUGAUUAAUACCUCAUAAUAUUGUAGCUUCGCAUGGAGCAACAAUCAAAGGAGCAAUCCGCUACAAGAUGGACCCGCGGCGCAUUAGCUAGUUGGUGAGGUAACGGCUCACCAAGGCGACGAUGCGUAGCCGACCUGAGAGGGUGAUCGGCCACAUUGGGACUGAGACACGGCCCAAACUCCUACGGGAGGCAGCAGUGGGGAAUAUUGCACAAUGGGCGCAAGCCUGAUGCAGCAACGCCGCGUGAGUGAUGACGGUCUUCGGAUUGUAAAGCUCUGUCUUUAGGGACGAUAAUGACGGUACCUAAGGAGGAAGCCACGGCUAACUACGUGCCAGCAGCCGCGGUAAUACGUAGGUGGCAAGCGUUGUCCGGAUUUACUGGGCGUAAAGGGAGCGUAGGCGGAUUUUUAAGUGGGAUGUGAAAUACCCGGGCUCAACCUGGGUGCUGCAUUCCAAACUGGAAAUCUAGAGUGCAGGAGGGGAAAGUGGAAUUCCAUGUGUAGCGGUGAAAUGCGUAGAUAUAUGGAGGAACACCAGUGGCGAAGGCGACUUUCUGGACGAAAACUGACGCUGAGGCGCGAAAGCCAGGGGAGCGAACAGGAUUAGAUACCCUGGUAGUCCAUGCCGUAAACGAUGAAUGCUAGGUGUUGGAGGGUUUCCGCCCUUCAGUGCCGCAGCUAACGCAUUAAGCAUUCCGCCUGAGUAGUACGUUCGCAAGAAUGAAACUCAAAGGAAUUGACGGGGGCCCGCACAAGCGGUGGAGCAUGUGGUUUAAUUCGAAGCAACGCGAAGAACCUUACCAGGUCUUGACAUCCUUUGACAACUCUAGAGAUAGAGCCUUCCCCUUCGGGGGACAAAGUGACAGGUGGUGCAUGGUUGUCGUCAGCUCGUGUUGUGAGAUGUUGGGUUAAGUCCCGCAACGAGCGCAACCCUUACCUUCAGUUACCAGCACGUCAAGGUGGGCACUCUGAAGGAACUGCCUACGCAAGUAGAGAGGAAGGUGGGGAUGACGUCAAAUCAGCACGGCCCUUAUGUUCGGGGCUACACACGUGCUACAAUGGUAUGUACAGAGGGCAGCCACCCUGUGAGGGGGAGCCAAUCCUCAAAGCAUAUCUCAGUUCGGAUUGGAGUCUGUAACUCGACUCUAUGAAGUUGGAUUCGCUAGUAAUCGCGCAUCAGCCAUGGCGCGGUGAAUACGUUCCCGGGCCUUGUACUCACCGCCCGUCA
RNAcentral lists this ribosomal RNA (1377 nucleotides) under human gut metagenome. RNAcentral's name for it is "bacterial SSU rRNA". It matches the Rfam family "Bacterial small subunit ribosomal RNA". The record is from RNAcentral.